UACGUAGGGAGCAAGCGUUAUCCGGAUUCACUGGGCGUAAAGGGAGCGCAGGCGGCACGGCAAGUCUGGUGUGAAAACCCGGGGCUCAACCCCGGGACUGCAUUGGAAACUGCCGGGCUGGAGUGUCGGAGGGGUAAGCGGAAUUCCUAGUGUAGCGGUGAAAUGCGUAGAUAUUAGGAGGAACACCAGUGGCGAAGGCGGCUUACUGGACGAUGACUGACGCUGAGGCUCGAAAGCGUGGGGAGCAAACAGG
Molecule: ribosomal RNA, 253 nt
Filed under: uncultured bacterium
Lineage: Bacteria
Description: partial 16S ribosomal RNA
Rfam family: Bacterial small subunit ribosomal RNA
Source: RNAcentral